RNAcentral lists this ribosomal RNA (423 nucleotides) under uncultured bacterium. Its description in RNAcentral is "bacterial SSU rRNA". It matches the Rfam family "Bacterial small subunit ribosomal RNA", at positions 355 to 775 of the family's 1533-position model. The record is from RNAcentral.
UAAGGAAUAUUGGUCAAUGGGCGCAAGCCUGAACCAGCCAUGCCGCGUGCAGGAAGACGGCCCUAUGGGUUGUAAACUGCUUUUAUACCGGAAUAAACCCUUUCACGUGUGAGAGGUUGAAUGUACGGUAGGAAUAAGGAUCGGCUAACUCCGUGCCAGCAGCCGCGGUAAUACGGAGGAUCCAAGCGUUAUCCGGAUUUAUUGGGUUUAAAGGGUGCGUAGGCGGCCUGUUAAGUCAGGGGUGAAAUUUUCCAGCUCAACUGGAAGCUUGCCUUUGAUACUGACGGGCUUGAAUGCAGCUGAGGUAGGCGGAAUGUGACAAGUAGCGGUGAAAUGCAUAGAUAUGUCACAGAACACCAAUUGCGAAGGCAGCUUACUAAAGUGUGAUUGACGCUGAGGCACGAAAGCGUGGGGAUCAAACAG